Molecule: ribosomal RNA, 468 nt
Filed under: uncultured bacterium
Lineage: Bacteria
Description: partial 16S ribosomal RNA
Rfam family: Bacterial small subunit ribosomal RNA
Source: RNAcentral
GACGAACGCUGGCGGCGUGCUUAACACAUGCAAGUCGAACGGAAAGGCCCUGCUUUUGUGGGGUGCUCGAGUGGCGAACGGGUGAGUAACACGUGAGUAACCUGCCCUUGACUUUGGGAUAACUUCAGGAAACUGGGGCUCAUACCGGAUAGGAGCUCCUGCUGCAUGGGGGGGGUUGGAAAGUUUCGGCGGUUGGGGAUGGACUAGCGGCUUAUCAGCUUGUUGGUGGGGUAGUGGCUUACCAAGGCUUUGACGGGUAGCCGGCCUGAGAGGGGGACCGGCCACAUUGGGACUGAGAGACGGCCCAGACGCCUACGGGAGGCAGCAGGGGGGAACAUUGCACAAUGGGCGGAAGCCUGAUGCAGCAACGCCGCGUGCGGGAUGACGGCCUUCUGGGGGUAAACCGCUUUCGCCUGUGACGAAGCGGGAGUGACGGUAACGGGUAAAGAAGCACCGGCUAACUACGUG